ACUCCUACGGGAGGCAGCAGUGAGGAAUAUUGGUCAAUGGGCGCAAGCCUGAACCAGCCAUGUCGCGUGCAGGAAGACUGCCCUAUGGGUUGUAAACUGCUUUUAUACGGGAAGAAUGUGACCUACGUGUAGGUUUUUGCCGGUACCGUAUGAAUAAGCAUCGGCUAACUCCGUGCCAGCAGCCGCGGUAAUACGGAGGAUGCAAGCGUUAUCCGGAUUCAUUGGGUUUAAAGGGUGCGUAGGCGGAAGUGUAAGUCAGGGGUGAAAGUUUGCAGCUCAACUGUAAAAUUGCCUUUGAUACUGCAUUUCUUGAGUACAUUUGAGGUAGGCGGAAUGUGUUGUGUAGCGGUGAAAUGCUUAGAUAUAACACAGAACACCGAUUGCGAAGGCAGCUUACUAAACUGUAACUGACGCUGAUGCACGAAAGCGUGGGGAGCAAACAGGAUUAGAUACCCUGGUAGGCGUAGU
RNAcentral lists this ribosomal RNA (468 nucleotides) under uncultured bacterium. Its description in RNAcentral is "bacterial SSU rRNA". It matches the Rfam family "Bacterial small subunit ribosomal RNA", at positions 335 to 803 of the family's 1533-position model. The record is from RNAcentral.